UGAUUCUGUCAAUGGCUUGGGUAAGGAUCAAUAAUAUUUAUUGAAAGAAUACUACUUUAUACAUGUGAUGUUUAUGUUAUAUAUGAGGUUAUCUUCGUGUAUAGUGAAGAAGGUUGAUGAUUUGUACUACCUUUUUCUAUAACAACAGAUCAGGAUUUGAAGCCAAGUCUCAGAAUCAAGUGCAACUUCAACUGUAAGGUAACAAAUGAAAAAGAGAAUUGAUUUGUACUUACAAAUUACAUCUUUACCUUGAUCACAAUGCAGUGGUCCAACUGUGCUGCAGACUUGGCUUUGUUCAAGUUCUGAGACAAGCUGUUGUUGAACAGUGUUGAAGCUAAUGAGACUUGUGUCCUGCUUAUUGUCCUCCAGUGCAUGGGCCUUUUGCAGGCAAAGUGCCCCUACACUAUGGGAAACGUAAAAGUGUUUUUCUUAAACGCAGGUGGAAGAACAAGCAGUCACAUUGUCAGUCACAUCUGA
RNAcentral lists this long non-coding RNA (477 nucleotides) under Anser brachyrhynchus (Pink-footed goose). RNAcentral's name for it is "lncRNA (ENSABRG00000004521.1)". The record is from RNAcentral. Lineage: Eukaryota; Metazoa; Chordata; Aves; Anseriformes; Anatidae.